Molecule: long non-coding RNA, 4504 nt
Organism: Carassius gibelio (silver crucian carp)
Lineage: Eukaryota; Metazoa; Chordata; Actinopteri; Cypriniformes; Cyprinidae
Exons: 3
Source: RefSeq, a predicted model, not a curated record
CUGCAUUUAUUUGAUCAAAAUAACAGAAAAAAAAAUGAAUGAACAGCUCUCUUCUACCCUCAAUACCCAUGAGUGAAGUGGCCUCGAGCAAGGCACUGAACCCCCAGUUGCUCCCCGGGCGCUGGAUCUAUAGCUGCCCACUGCUCUGGGUGUGUGUUCACAGCAUGUUCACCACUUACUGCUGUGUGUGUGUGCACUUGAACGGGUAAAAUGCAGAACACCAAUUCUGAGAAUAGGUUACUAUACUUGGCAAAUGUCACGACUUUCACUUUCACUUUCUAUUUUAAUAUACUUUCAAAUAUAAUCCAUUCCUGUGAAGCAAAGUUGAAUAUUCAGCAUACUCCAGACUUUGGUGUCACAUGAUCCUUCAGAAAUCUGUCUAAUAUGCUGAUUGAUAAUCAAUGCUGGAAAAAAGUAGAUUUUUAUUUUUGGAUUCUUUAAAAUCCUGUUAAAAAGUUAAAGUUAAAAAGAACAGUAGUUAUUUAAAAUAAAAAACUAAACAAAAAUUAUCUCUCUUAGAAUACUUUUAUUCGACAAGGACGCGUUAAAUGGAUCAAAAAUGACAUUGUUAGAAAAUAUUUAUAUUUUGAAUAAAUUCUGCUCUUUUUAACUUUUAAUUUUAUUUAUGGAACCUAGGUUCCAAAAAAUAUUAAGCAGCACAACAGGUUCAGCACUGAUAAUAAAUCAGAAUAAGAAUGAUUUCUAAAGGAUCAUGGGACACUGAGGACUGGAGUAAUAUGAUAUGAAUAUUAUAUGAUAAUUAUUAGAAAUUGCAAUAAUUUCAUAAUAGUACCGUUUUUUUCUGUAUUUUUGAUCAAAUAAAUACAGCAUUGAUGAGCAUAAGAGACUCCACCUUUUAAUUCUUUAAUAGACAGAGGAACAAAGGAGUUCUUAUAAAGGUUAAGUCUACACUAAGGAAUUCUGAAGCGUCUUCCCAAAGGAAGUUGGUAUUCAGAGUGAAGGACAUGAGUGGGGUCUGAAAUAAUAAUUAUUAUGUCUAAUAAAUUUCUCAUCAAAAAGAGUCUAAAGUGUGGGAUGCUGCUUAACUUCUAUAAUUUGUAUAUGGCUCUCUGUGUUAGCGGAGUAACCUGAUUUUUCUAAUGUUCACUGAGAUUGCCGAACCAGGCAAUCUGAACCUCAUGUUUGUAAGUAACAACAUCUGAUGUUCCAGAUAUGAGAAUGAGACCUAAAAUAGCUGUAUUAUCAGAGAACUUAAUCAUGUAAUUAUUAACAGUACUGCAUUUGCAUUCAUUAGUGUAUGAUGUGAACAGAACUGGAGAACUGACAUACCCCUGUGGGGCGCCAGUGCUGAUAAUCAUAGAUUCAGACAACGUCCUUUUCACCCUGACCUGCUGACUACGAUUGGAAAGAAAUGAGCGGAACCCCUUAAUAAUAAAUGGGAUGACAUUCAUCUGCUGCAGUGUUUUUUUUUUUUUUUUUUUUUAAAGAAUGUGAGUUAUAGGCUGAACUAAAAUCUACAAACAACAGUCAAGCAUAAGCCCUGGGAUUCUCAAGAUAUUUAGUCACUAUGUGCACUAAACUGUUGAUUGCAUCGUCAGUGCCUCUCAGAUGUUUAUAUGGAAAACUGAUGGGCAUCUAAAUGUGGACCUACUUCCUGUUUUAAUUAACUUUGUGUAUUUACUAACAGUAGUGCUUGACUUCGUUAACAAAAAUGGAAUGAAAUGUCAUUAAAAAAUUAGAAAUUUAGAAAUGUCUAAAUGCGUGUUACAAAGUGUGUGAAUGAUUCAUCCUUGAUUUCUUACAAAAACAUUUUUUUACAUCGUAUGUUUAAUCAAAAUAAACCUGCCCCCUACAGCAAGCUCACAUUUAUCUGCCAAGACUUUUGAAGACUACUCCCACAUCUCAACAUCCAAUGAACAACAACUAAAUAGAACCAAGUCCAUCCCCACCAUUUUUUAAUAGUCGUCUUGGAUGUGCAUCACCAUACCGAAGAAAAGAUCAGUCGCUGUUCAGCCCACUUUGCAGCUUAUUUUGUAUGAGAACAAUCUACAUAAACACACAGACACUGUUCAACAGACAGGUAAAGGGACCAAUAACGGUUCAUUUUGUUUACAUGCUGGGUAGGGAUGGUAGAUUUGUGUGUAACUAAAGAAAUGAACCAGUGUGGGCAAAACACAUUCAAACACUUCAGUAGUCUCUGCGUAUUUGUAUGUACGGAACUUGUGCUCUCAUUUCCAGGAAAAUGAUAAGUCAAGUAACAAUGUGUACAAGAAAUAAAGGGAGGGGUUCUUAUUUCGACAAUGACACACACUUGCAAGAGCCUUGCUUCCUGUCACAACUUGUUGUUGACUGCAAGCUAUAACCAUACAAGAGUUGUUAUAGCUAUGAAAAACCCAUUUUUCAGGAAACAGCAGUAUAUAUUUACAUAUAUAUGAUCAAAUUAGGGGUAAAGAAAAGUACAAAAUUUGAUAUGAAAUUAUUAUGCUAUUCAAAUCACACUAAAAUAAAUGAAUAUAGCUCACAUGCAAAAAUUAUAUCAGAGAGUAACUGUGGUUUCCUGUAACAUUUUUCACCGCCACAAGCAAAUGAAUAUUAUAUGUAUAUGUUGAGCAUAAAACAUUUGAGGUAUGCAAUACUGAUAACUUUAAAACAAGUUGUAGCAAAGAACAUUGUUUGGAAGAACAUGAAAAUGUUAGUGAUACAAAAAAAAUACAAAAAAAAAGUUGCUCUUUUAUGUGGAUAGAGGCACAAUAAUUGAACUUUGUUUACAAAAAAAGUCAGUUUAGCAAUGAAAUAUCAAAACAUGAGGGCUAUGUCCGCCCAUAAAUUUGGAUUAGGUAAAAAUCGAAAUGAUCACACAACAUUUCUUCCAUGUUUUAAUUGUAAUAGUAAAUCCCCAUUGUUUGCCAAAAAAAAUAAAGUUUGCUUCAUUUUCAAAUAUCUGCAGUUUAAUUUAACUUUAACUCAUUAAAUAUAGAAUAACUGUAAAGUCACCAAAACUAUAAGGUAAAACAUUCUGACGUAUGAGAAUCAUUGGCAAAUGUUUAACCAAACAUGCUGGAAUGCUUUUUAUACAGUAUUGAAGGAGUUCACACACUUCUUGACUGCUUUUCCUAUAAGUAACCCCUCCAAUUUAUUUAUUUCAUGAUGAUAAUUAAAGAAGAAAAGACCACAUGUAAGUUUAGGAAGUUGCUUCAUUCUGUAAUCCAGUUGCUUGGUUACUUAUAAAAGUACACUAUCAGUAGCAGUGAAUAGGCUAAUGUUCAUCGGAACUUACAGUUACUCAUACCAUGUGUUUGCAAAGCAGUUGCUAUAGCUAAUCCUGACUUUAUUUUAGAAAUGACGCUACAUACUCAUUUGAGUAUGACAAACACAUCACACUUUCAUUAAGAUAAUAUUCAAACUGAAACUUUAUGUAAAAAGAAACCUCAUAAAAAUGAAAAUCUGUAGAGCAGAUGAUUUCUUUAACCCAUCUAUUGAAUUCACACAGCCUUUGUUAACUGAGGUGGUUUUAAGUUACUUAACAGUUUCUCCUUUGCAAAGCAAACAAGGUGUGAGACUGAACAAAACUCCCAUCGGUAUUGUGUAUCAGCCUUUUUUUUCCCCGGUUUAUCUAGAUUUAUACAAGAAUAUGGUCAGACAUUUUUUGAAUGGCCCACUGAGUUUAAAAGAUACAAAUUUGAAAUACUGUUAGAUAACUGCGGCUGUAGCCACACAAAGGGCAAAACAUGACGUAAGAAAAUGACAUAUAUUUCAGCAAUUAAAUCACUUUUGUGGCAAGUUUUUAGUUCUCUAUCCCAACGUAACUGUCUGAGACAAGUCUUUUCUCAGAUAAGAUCUUUUCUUUUCAUUUAGUUAUAGUCUCAUUUACAUUUGUGACAAAAAUUUGGUUGACAAAAACUAUGGUGGAAAUUAUGUCAAUUAAAUUAUCACUAUGUAUGUGUGGGUGUGUUUGUGUGGGUGUCUGUGUCUGUGUCUGUGUGUGUGUGUUUGUAUUAUAGCUAUAUACAGCCCGUUCUCACCGCCAGAGACAGGGUGACAAUCCCAUUCAUUUUCAAUGGAGAGCUGGCGUUUUCCGGCGACACGAGUGACAGUGACUUUUGGGGAAGGACAUGGCGAUCUUUCUGACAGUGGAGGAGAAGGGUGCAGGACUGUUCCUGCUCACUGGGCCUGAGGAUAUGGUCACUGAAGUGGGACCUUGGGUGUCAGAGUUUCGCAGGGUAAAGAAGCAGAAAAGGCUGGAUGUUACCAGGGUAAAGCCAACAGUCUGGUGAAGAGAGCAGAAGCUGAGGAUUUACUGAGGGAGCACAUCUGCAAACUCACUGCAGGAGAAGAAUAAUAUGACCACAUACAGUCGUGAUGAUUCAUGAUGAUCCAGAUCAGAACUAGACUGCUUUGUUGCAGUUUAUACUCUAAGUGCACAAUACGUUGCAACACAUCACGAUGCACCUUCAGUUGAUAGAGGCUCCAUUUCUGUUUUUGGUGCACUACAUAGCUACUCCAUAUAUAUAUAUAUAUAUAUAUAUAUAUAUAUAUAUAUAUA